Long non-coding RNA from Hylaeus volcanicus, 3199 nucleotides. RefSeq lists it as uncharacterized. The record is from RefSeq and is a predicted model, not a curated record. Lineage: Eukaryota; Metazoa; Arthropoda; Insecta; Hymenoptera; Colletidae. The transcript has 5 exons.
AAAGAGUACUGCGCUACGAGCGUAGAGAGAUCGAGAGCGAUAAACUCACAGACAAGCGAAGGACAGAGAAGGGAAGAGCAACGUUCGCAGGAAAAGUCCGAAGUUUAAUACGUGCCGCGCUACACUUCAGGUUUCGAGCUUGGGCCAGCGUUGGGGGGGGGGCACCGCCCGGGGCGCCAGAUCUUUGAGGGCGUCGCAGUCCAGUGUCCCUAGUCAGGGCCGGCGCAAGGCAGAUUCAGCGCGUUCGUCGGAACCCGGUCCCGUGUUUUCAGAAGCCCCGCGGUCACAGCCGACUCUAGUACUAGCCAUGCUGAGAAACGCCGCUCAAGUCUAGAUCGAGACUCCUAUUUUCCAAUAUGAGUCUUGUGCUUCGUAUCAUAAUUAACAGUUUUUUUAAUAGAAAACUGUACUAAUGUACACCAUUUGUUAUUAAUUAUGUAAAAGUGGUAUAUAAAUAUUAUGACUAUAUGGUUUGAAGAAAAUAUAAGUGUGAAGGAAGAUAAAACCUUCUUUGGACCAAAUUGAAGUGUUUUAAAAUUAAUAAGAGAUAUUUUUAACUUAAUACAAACGUGAAAUAGACAAAAUUGUUGGUACGAAGUCAAAGAGGUUAAGUGAACGCGUGGAAGAGAUGAAGGGAAGCUACCCAAGGAAAGAAUUAUGCAGUUAAUUCAAGAGUGUGUUACAAAGUUUACAAAUUGGGACUUCAAGUUAGCAUCAUUAAUUAUGGCUUCCAUUAUGGCAUACAUAUGACUGAAUAUGGUCAUUACUUCUUCCGUAGGAACAGAAAGGCCCCCUCUUUCAAUAGAAUGGGACCCAUAACCAGAUAUGUAAUUUUUAAUGGAAUCAUCAACAACACAAGUGGAUAAGUAUUCAGUUUCAAAGAUUCCCAGAAAACAAAUUACAUCAAUGAAAAGAUCAUGAAGAAUAUGAUCGUUAUCAUAAACUUCAAAUCUAUUUUUGAUUUAAGUAAAAAAAAAGAAUCUUGCAGAUUUCUUAAAUAUAUAUUUUAAUCUAAUAUUUUUCUCUGCAUGAACUACUUCAUUGUAUGAAACGUGAUAAUUACAACCAAAUAAAAGUUUAUAGUUUCCAAAUCGUUUCUCUAAUUUUUUAGUUCACAAUUUUCCUGCUAAAAGAUAAGAUAUGUCAAAAGUUUGAAAAUAGUACUACUCUAUGAGUAGUAAAAGAACUCUAAUACUUUGAUGUAAAACUUUGAAAGUAUCUAAUGUUAAAUGACCGUCUGUUUCCAAAUUUUUCCAAAAAUCUAACCAUGUUAAAAAUUUCUUUAAAUAUUCAUAUCUAAAAUCCUUAACAUUCAAAAUCGGUUUACAAAAUUUGUUUCUUUUCCUGUUACCUUUAACACUACUUGUAUUAUUGUAUAAUUAAAAUCUUUCAUAACUGCGAUUGUUGAAUGAUGGAAAAUAUUAUUUACUAGAAAAACUUUUUGCCUAUCAAAAUUAUUAAGAAACAAUGACUUAUAAUUUAAUUUAUAAGCUUUCUUAAUAAUUAAAUAUUUUUCAAAAUCGUAAACUGUACGUAAAUGGUUAAAUUUAGCUAAUCUUUGUUCAUUUGUAUAAAAGUCGGGGAAAAUAAAAGUUUUAUUUAAAUUUGUUAAAUUUAACCAGUUAUUUCUUAUAUUUUUCAUUAUAUGAACAAAGUCAAAAGAAAGAAAAAUAGUUUUAUGAAAAGGCCGGUAAAGGGAGACAGUAGUUGGGAGGCCGGGAGACUGAUAGGGUAGGUUGGGUUAGGUAUAUCGAAGUUUCUUCCCUGUGGGGCGGGGAAUAGAAUACGCCCACAGUAAUCCCUGCUUUUUUUUUUUUUUUAUAACGAGGGGGAAAUGCAUUACGCACACCCGGCGGAUGUAGGGACUUCCGCCGGGUAGUGUGGGACUCGCCGCAGGCGAAAAACAUCACCCGUGGGUAUACCCACUAAAACCCCCCCGAUGGCCAACAUCGGGCAACACAGCGACCAUGGGCUCUCUCCAGGACGGGAAAGCGAACCUCCCCGCCCCUACGAACUCCACCACGGCCGCCGCCCCCAGGCUCCCCUUGAUCUUUGGGGAGCCCUACUCAGUGUGGGGGAGCCAAACAUCGCCCCCUACACCGUUCUGUCGGCGCCAGGGGGCCAUACCCCGGCGCCGACCGCUUUGGGACCGGUCACGAAGACGGCGGCGAAUCCCUACCGCCAACCGUCUCGGCCCCCGCGGCCCCGCACGCAACACGUCGAGGUCAUCGUGACUGUGACCCCAUGACAGGCGUGCGCGCGCGGGGCCGACAGUAAUCCCUGCUUGUCAUAACCCCGGGUCCACACUGCGCGAACACUGGUUCGCGUACAUCGUUCGUGAACAUGGUAGCUAACCCUGUUAUUCACCGGUUUUCGCCGUAGUAUGGACGGGAAAUAGCAGAGUUCGCUAACAAGUGACCCUCGUAAUAGGCGUAAAGUCGUAAAAGUAGCCCCGCUGAGUUAGGCGAAAACUGUGUUCGCGAACCAAAUUCAGCGAUCCACGAGGUGGUGGAUCCGGCGAACACGUUCGGGGAAAACAUCGCCUUUUUCUUCGUUCUUGUCCCUUUUCAAACCCUCGGAGCUUGGGCAUUGCUAUUCUUUCUAACUGGGGGGGUGGUCUUUAUGACCACCCGCAGGUAGGUACAUACUCCAAAAGGAUAAUAUGCGUGACCGAAGUUAACAUUAUUUUCUUAUUACUCAUCCAAGUUUGUAUAUUUUUUGUUGUAUCUUGAUGAAAGUAUAUGCAAUAUAUUGGCGAGAUUUUCCUGAUAAAAAUGGCACCAAACACAAUGCAAUUCAGACAACUUUAAGUUUCGUUUACAAUAUGCAAUAUUUUUAUAAUAUUAAUACUUGAUUUUGUGAGCCAGUAACCGAUUAGAAAGUCUCUUCGAAAAUAGAAAACAGAUUGUAAAACUCUUGCCAGGAGAUAAUUAGGGCCUAUGAAAAAACUUGGUACCUUUUGUAGCUAUGUGAUCCUGAUACCCGACUUUUCAAAAAUUCAUUUUUUUUAUGGAAAAUAAUAGUAUUUCGUUUGUACUUGAUUGUACCAUCAAUAGUUUCGUUUAUACGUUCAUCAAUUAAUAAAUAAAAAAAUAAAAAAAAUGACAAGCACCCGACAUUGAGAUUUUUGAAAUCUGUUUUUCCCUAUUCUUUAGAAUCGUUUGUACCCGUUUGUAUCGCUUUUCGUUUCGUUUGUACC